Molecule: transfer-messenger RNA, 347 nt
Filed under: Clostridia
Lineage: Bacteria; Bacillati; Bacillota
Also listed under: 1 other name
Description: RGIG1828 sp017629325 Standard tmRNA
Rfam family: transfer-messenger RNA
About the family: Bacterial tmRNA, also known as 10Sa RNA or SsrA, is named for its dual tRNA and mRNA-like properties. Its role is to liberate the mRNA from a stalled ribosome. To accomplish this part of the tmRNA is used as a reading frame that ends in a translation stop signal.
Source: RNAcentral
GGGGUCGUACAGGGUUCGACGGGGAUUUUGAAGCAUAAGGAGCGAGCAGCGUUGGAUUACGCUUUAAAAAGUCCAAACUAAAUAUAAACGCUAACAAUAACUUAGCAUACGCUGCCUAAUUAAAGGCAGCCGUUCUUACUAGGGCUACCGCACCUUAGAUAAGAGCGUCAUUUAGCGGUGCACAUGAGUGAGCAAAGCUUUGAGCUCACCAGGUAUAAUGAAGCUACCAAAGCUAUAAGUUUGUUUGUGAACUUAUAGCCGAGGGAAUUUUCAAUCACAAACUGCGCUCGGAGAGCCUUAUGUGAAUAGAUUUUCGGACAGGAGUUCAAUUCUCCUCGACUCCAUAA